GACGAACGCUGGCGGCGUGCCUAAUACAUGCAAGUAGGACGCACAGUUUAUACCGUAGCUUGCUACACCAUAGACUGUGAGUUGCGAACGGGUGAGUAACGCGUAGGUAACCUGCCUGGUAGCGGGGGAUAACUAUUGGAAACGAUAGCUAAUACCGCAUAAUAUUAAUUAUUGCAUGAUAAUUAAUUGAAAGGUGCAAUUGCACCACUACCAGAUGGACCUGCGUUGUAUUAGCUAGUAGGUGAGGUAACGGCUCACCUAGGCGACGAUACAUAGCCGACCUGAGAGGGUGAUCGGCCACACUGGGACUGAGACACGGCCCAGACUCCUACGGGAGGCAGCAGUAGGGAAUCUUCGGCAAUGGACGCAAGUCUGACCGAGCAACGCCGCGUGAGUGAAGAAGGUUUUCGGAUCGUAAAGCUCUGUUGUAAGAGAAGAACGGGUGUGAGAGUGGAAAGUUCACACUGUGACGGUAUCUUACCAGAAAGGGGCGGCUAACUACGUG
RNAcentral lists this ribosomal RNA (505 nucleotides) under uncultured bacterium. RNAcentral describes it as "partial 16S ribosomal RNA". It matches the Rfam family "Bacterial small subunit ribosomal RNA", at positions 28 to 507 of the family's 1533-position model. The record is from RNAcentral.